GUGUACAGCCACACUGGAGCAUCUUCAAUCCCUGAGUUUAAGUUUCAGACAAAUGUGAAAUUAGGAUUAAAAGAAACUUCAAUGGGAUGGGGUAUACUCUAGCUGGAAAGUGCUUACCCAGAACUCACAAGACAAUGGGUUUGAUCUCUUGUACCAGCCCCACAAACCAAAAGUUCCUUCAAGAGCAGUUUUUGUUUCACAGAUCUUUUAAAUGACUCAGCAUAUAAAUACAUUUCCAUAUGGUGUCAAAUUUUUGCAUACAAUAAAAAAGAUACAUACACUCUUUGAAGCCUAUAGGCUAUCAGUAGACCCCAGAUUAAGAAUUGCUGGUCUAGUCAAAUAAUAUCCCUUGAUUAAUGAGAAAAUUUAAAUGACAACAACAACAACAGCAAAAUAUGUUUAGAACCAGAGUUGGUUAAUGACACUUCCAAGACUAGAAACUAGCUAUUCUGAUUUCCAUCUAAUUCUAUUACCUUGAAGUAUGUGUGUGUGUGUGUGUGUGUGUGUGUGUGUGUGUGUGUGUACACAAAUUACAUGUAACUAUUAAUGACUUACAGAGGCCUAUUUAAAUAUUUCCUGAAUAGAUGGGACUUCUGUUUAUUUCUGAAUGCUGUUGGAUAUAUUCCUUCAUUACAUACUAUUUACUAUGCACUAUUCUAAUGUUCUAAAAACAAAUACAGUGAAGAAUUUUUAAAAUAUGGCCCUCAAUAAGAAUUUGAGCUGGGUAGCAAAAGAGACAAAAAGAAUGUUAAUGUCAGAUACUAAGGAGAAUUGCAGCAAAAAAUAGGAAAUAGUAAAGAGAAUGGGGCCUUGUAGGGAGAAAAGGGUGAUGGAUACAUUAUCUUGUGAAACAUAGGCUUCGUCUUCCUGGUUUGUUGAAAUUACAGAAGAUACUUGAAGAUUGGUAAACGUGUAUAGCUGGAGAAAAGGGGUUCUAGAUGGAAAAAUAAAUGAAUACAAUAAAGAGCUGGCGGUCAAACCUGGUAUAAAAUUUGUAAUGAAGAACAAAGAAGUAAAAGAUUAGGCAGAAACUGUUGGGAAAUCCAGAGGAGCAGGUCAUGUCCUGGGUAGUCUGUGAUUUUUCUCUGGUGGCAACAUGGAGGAGAGGCACAAUCUGAUACAUGAGAUGAAAUGCAACAUCUUUCCUGUUUUACUUAGGCAGGAUAGUCAUAAUAAAGUUCAGGGUAGAAGCAAAGGAAGCAAACCAGGGGACAGUACUCUAAUAACCAGCUGAGACCAGCUGGAUAAAACUAAGAUAAUGGUAUGAAAAUAAAGAUGGUGAGUGUCUUAGGUUUAUUUUUAAGUAAAGCUGGAAAAAUCUUCAGAUAGGUCAAAUAAAGAAUGACUAUAAUUUUUAAUCUAAACAUUGUUAUUUAUUUAAAUAAUGAGAACAUAAACAGGUUUGGCAGGAAUCUGCUGAAUAAUUAGUGAAGAUGUGGAUAUACUUUUGACUGGCUCUUGACAAAGAUAUACUAAAAAGGGGAGAUCUAUUCAAUGAACUAGUUGUUCAGAGAUUUUACAUAUAUAUAUAUAUAUAUAUAUAUGUAUAUAUAUAUACAUAUAUGUAUAUGCAUAUAUAUCAAUAAUAUCAAAGAAAUGACAUAAUAGAGAAGAUAACUGUAGACAAGAAACUGAAGAAUUUUAAGAAUAAAAUAGAACAAAAUAUUUUUAAACACAUGUAUUGAAGAAACAAGAAGAAAGUGUACAAAAUAGCAGAGCCACUAUAGUAAGCUAGUCAAUGUGCUGGUGUAGCCACACAAAGAAAUCAUUGCCCAGUUGAGCUAAAUGUUACUGAGACUAAAUACCAAGAACUGACCCUGUGACAUACUAGUGUGGUGUUACUGGGGACCUGGUUAGGAACAGACUUAGAGUAUGGCAGGUAUGGAUUAAAAAAUGUGUGAAAGUUUAAGAAAGAUAGGAGAAGACCUGAAGGAACUAUUACUUCCAAGGGAUUUUGCUCUCAAGAAGAGAGGAUAAAUGACAGUGCAUCAGGAGGACAAGGUAAGAUCAAGGGAACUUACAUCUGAAGAAAAGAUCACCAACACAGCAUGGUAGUAUCCUAACAAGAAUGACAAGCUGUGGUGACUUUUGAGUAUCAAGAAAGAGGGAACACUAAUCCAAACAGAGGAGAAGGGUCAGUUUAUCCAAAUGAUUAGAAAUUACGUAGCAUAUAUCAACCAAAUGUCAACUGUUUCUAUGUGUGGUAUUGAGAGGUCUCUUUUCCUAUGUGAACACUAAUACCCCACAGUAGAUGACUUUAUUCCAAGACCACCUUAACCCUUAUGUUAUUAUCUCUAUUCUUUUUUCAUUAAUUUAUUUAUUCACUCACUUUGCAUCCCUAUAGCAGCAGACCCUCCCUCCUCUCUUCCCAGUAGUACCAUUACAAAUCCCCCCCUCCCAUUACCUGCUCCUGUUCUCCUCAGGGUGGUAUUAAUUCCCUUCUCACAGAGAUGUUACUUCGUUUUUCCCACAUCAUCAAUUCAGUACUGAACUUCACAGGAAGAGAAAGUGAAAAAUAAAAUAAGAACAGGAAGAUAAUAUGAGGUAUUCUUGGUGUAUGUAUGUGUGUGUGUUUGUGCUUGUGUGUGUGUGCUUUCUUCAUAUAGUAAGAAUAUAAAACAAACUGAAAAUCUUAAGGGAAGAAGAUAUUAGAUCUUUAACAAGAAUAAAGUGUGGCAUUUUUAUCUAGAAGCAUGGAAGUCUGAAAGGAUAAUGAAAUCUAGCUGGAUUCUUGGCCAGCACUCAGGGCCACUCUAUUUUUAUGACUUGCAAGUAUUUGAGUGUUCCAACAGCUCAAUCAUGCUUUCUGUAAGUGUAAUAGCUAGACUCUGAGGUUUUUAAUUCUUUGCACUGUCUCUCCUCAUCCAUCUCAUUAUUAUUGGUUCUACUCUCACUGACUCACAAACUACUAUGUCCUAUUUCUACUGCUAGCAUAAUUCAUUUAUUCUUUUAGCAUAUUUUUACCAAGUACCUUAGUGUAACACAGAAAUAAAGACAGUGUAUAAAAAAAUCUGAGCAGUAUACUUUGGAAGAUAUUUCUGAAGGCACACGGUAAAUUUUGUUACUAGAUUCUGACACUUCCUGGUCUACAUUCUACAGAAAGCAGCGAGGAAAACCAGCAGUGUAUUGGCAGAGCAUACAGAACUGCUAUCUGUUAGAGAGGUAUCCUACACUAGAAAAUAUUGUUACACUAGAGUCCCCAUUCUAUG
This 3209-nucleotide long non-coding RNA is filed under the name Mus musculus (house mouse). RNAcentral's name for it is "long non-coding RNA chr10:49791560-49794769". Lineage: Eukaryota; Metazoa; Chordata; Mammalia; Rodentia; Muridae. The record is from RNAcentral.